AGAGUUUGAUCCUGGCUCAGGAUGAACGCUAGCGGCAGGCUUAACACAUGCAAGUCGAGGGGCAGCGCGGGUGGCAACACCUGGCGGCGACCGGCGCAAGGGUGCGUAACGCGUGAGCAAUCUGCCCGUGUCAGGGGGAUAAGCGAUGGAAACGUCGUCUAAUACCGCAUAACAGCCAUGGGGGCAUCCCCGGGGCUUGAAAGAUUCGUCGGACACGGAUGAGCUCGCGAGGCAUUAGCUAGUUGGUGAGGUAACGGCUCACCAAGGCUGCGAUGUCUAGGGGGUCUGAGAGGAUGGUCCCCCACACUGGAACUGAGACACGGUCCAGACUCCUACGGGAGGCAGCAGUGAGGAAUAUUGGACAAUGGUCGGAAGACUGAUCCAGCCAUGCCGCGUGAAGGAUUAAGGUCCUAUGGAUUGUAAACUUCUUUUGUACGGGAGCAAUAAGCGCCACGGGUGGCGCGACGAGAGUACCGUACGAAUAAGCAUCGGCUAACUCCGUGCCAGCAGCCGCGGUAAUACGGAGGAUGCGAGCGUUAUCCGGAUUUAUUGGGUUUAAAGGGUGCGUAGGCGGCUUGGUAAGUCAGCGGUGAAACGCAGGGGCUCAACCCCGGAGCUGCUUUGGAAACUGCUGAGCUAGAGUGUGGGAGAGGAAAGCGGAACUUUGAGUGUAGCGGUGAAAUGCGUAGAGAUUAGGAAGAACACCGGUGGCGAAGGCGACUUUCUGGACUGUAACUGACGCUGAGGCUCGAAAGCGUGGGGAGCGAACAGGAUUAGAUACCCUGGUAGUCCACGCCGUAAACGAUGAUGACUAACCGUCGGCGAUACACAGUCGGUGGCCAAGCGAAAGCGAUAAGUCAUCCACCUGGGGAGUACGACCGCAAGGUUGAAACUCAAAGGAAUUGACGGGGGCCCGCACAAGCGGAGGAACAUGUGGUUUAAUUCGAUGAUACGCGAGGAACCUUACCCGGGCUCGAACGGCUGGUGAAGAGAUCCAGAGAUGGUGACGUCCUUCGGGACACCAGUCGAGGUGCUGCAUGGUUGUCGUCAGCUCGUGUCGUGAGAUGUUGGCUCAAGUGCCAUAACGAGCGCAACCCUUGCUGCCAGUUACCAGCGCGUAAAGGCGGGGACUCUGGCGGGACUGCCACCGUAAGGUGUGAGGAAGGCGGGGAGGACGUCAAAUCAGCACGGCCCUUACGUCCGGGGCGACACACGUGUUACAAUGACAGCUACAGAGGGAAGCUACCUGGCGACAGGAUGCAGAUCUCGAAAAGCUGCCUCAGUUCGGACUGGAGUCUGCAACCCGACUCCACGAAGCUGGAUUCGCUAGUAAUCGCGCAUCAGCCAUGGCGCGGUGAAUACGUUCCCGGGCCUUGUACUCACCGCCCGUCAAG
RNAcentral lists this ribosomal RNA (1394 nucleotides) under uncultured bacterium. RNAcentral's name for it is "bacterial SSU rRNA". It matches the Rfam family "Bacterial small subunit ribosomal RNA". The record is from RNAcentral.